AACCUGUGGGAGAACCCGGCGAGCUAAGCCAAACGGAGGGCGGGAGAGAGGAAGCGGCAGCUGGCGCCUCUCGGCAACUCUAACCCUCUGAUAGAGAUCGCCAAGAUUGGUAUCCAUAGAGCUUGCUGUGGUUUGAAUGUAUCCCCCAAAGUUCAUGUGUUGGAAACUAUUCUUAAUGCAAAAGUGUUAAGAGAUCCCGGAGAGCUUGUCCACUGCAACAGUGCAACACGCUAAGGGCUGUGUGGCGGCACAGGGGCUCUGAGCUCCUGACCUGAGUCAUGGGGACCUGAAGGCUGACACCCAGCCCUAUACCUACAAGCUGGGUGAGACCCCUGGCAGUUGCCUACACCCCUGCUGAGACCCAGUACCUCCCUGUAAAAUGGGGGAAAUAAUGCCUGCCUCACAGGGUUUCGAUGAAGGGUGAGUGAAAUAAGGAAACAUUUGGAAACCCCUUGGAGGAGAUCUGCCACAUGGCCUCCAGUGAACUGUAGACUCCUGCAUAGCCUUCCAAAGUUCUUCAUUUGGUGAAUAUUAUGAGAAAUGACACGUAUGACUUUCUCCCAAAUACGUGGCUUAAACCCAAAGUACAGUGAAAUCAGAACUGACCACACAGAGUAAUUGGGGCAAGGGAGUUAUUUGUGACACAAAGCCCUCAUCACUUUAUAAAAGUACUUGCUACUGAUUACAUUGAAAACCAGUCUUCCUGAGUAAAACAUGUUUUUUGUUUUGUAUCGUUUUUGUUUUUGUUUUUUUGAGACAGAGUCUCACUCUUUGACCCAGGCUGGAGUGCAGUGGUGCGAACUUGGCUCUCCGCAACCUCUGCCUUCUGGGUUCAAGCGAUUCUCUUGCCUCAGCCUCCUGAGUAGCUGGGAUUACAGGUGCCCGUCACCACGCCAGGCUAAUUUUUUUGUAUUUUUAGUAGAGGCGAGGUUUUGCCAUGUUGGCCAGGUUGAUCUUGAACUCCUGACCUCAGAUGAUCCACAUGCCUGGGCCUCCCAAAGUGCUGGGGUUAGAGGCAUUAAGGGAGGAGACCACCCCUCAUAUUGUCUUAUGCCCAAUUUCUGCCUCCAAAGAAAGAAAAAGUAAAAACUGAAAGGCAGAAAUGAAAUCCACAAGCAGACAGCCCGGUGCCACACCCUGGGCAGAUCGACCCCUGACCUAAUCGGUUAUGUUAUCGAUUACAGACAUUGGAUAGAAAAGCACUGUGAAAAUCCCUAUCCUGUUUUGUUCAGAUCGAAUUACCGGUGCAUGCAGCCCCCAGACACGUACCCUCUGCUUGCUCAAUCGAUCACGACCCUCUCACACGCACCCCCUUAGAGUUGUGAGCCCUUAAAAGGGACAGGAAUUGCUCACUCGGGGAGCUUGGCUCUUGAGACAGGAGUCUUGCCAAUGCCCCCAGCCGAAUAAACCCCUUCCUUCUUUAA
This is a long non-coding RNA of Homo sapiens (human), 1424 nucleotides long. RefSeq annotates it as NEK2 divergent transcript. The record is from RefSeq and is marked validated. The transcript is spliced from 4 exons. Lineage: Eukaryota; Metazoa; Chordata; Mammalia; Primates; Hominidae.